AGGAAACGCUUCACGUCAGUUCAUCGUCCCACGUACUGCACGUAAAAUACAGAUUCUAAUAAAGAAGUGUGUUUUAAUUUCCCAAAGACAAGAGAUAUUUGUUGUGUGACUCAUUGAAAAUGGGCCCCAGCGCAAGAGUCACAGUGGGAAAGCCACAAUGACAAUUAAAUUAGACGCAUUUUAAUUAUUUCAAGACAAUCCUGGAAGACUAAAAUACAAGAAGUAGUAUUUAAUCAGUGAAGACAGUUAGUCAGCUAAUUCAUUGCGACUUAUUUUCAAAAUGCAGGCAGGAUUUCAUUUUAAAACUCAGGAUUUUAUGGGUUUUUAGAUGAGCUUCUUCGGAUGUCAGAACAGAAUAUAGUCACGUGUUUUAAAAAGCAAUGAAAUAUUCGACCCAUUACAUACAGAGGACAAAGCAAAUGUUUUGUUGUAGUUUCUGCAACAAGGAGUAAUCAGCCUUUGUUUACUGUGCUGCUCCUGUAACAAUACAUAAGUCGUAUCAUCCACAGAGUGAAAUAAGCUAAGUCACGCGCAUGCUGCACCGAAGCCAUCAGUCAUGUCAAAGGGAGGAACAUGAAUACGGCAACAUCGAGGCAGUUCAGUGCUGCUCGUCUCCAGGGUUGUUCCAGCUAACAAGGCUCCAGUUGCAUGAAAUCUUUCUCACUUGAAAGUUUGAAAUGCAGCUCCAAACACAGAAAUGUGUAUUUUCAGCACAUAAAUCAUUUUUGAAAGACUUCAGUUCACAUUCUAUCAAAUAAAUAGGAAUUAUCUGCUGCACUGUCAGAGGUCCAGACUUCUUGUUUGCACUGGUGUGGCUAAACUUUUCAAUUAGCAAGGGACUGCCACCGCAGUUUUCAUAGCACCUAUACCGUCACAGCAUUGCAUUUUUAACGGUGAUAUUGUUAUCAAAUUUAAGCCAUAAAAUGUCUUCUGUAUUGAAUUGUUUAUAUUUUUUAACAAUGUUUAUCCAGAGCUGUUUUAGACCCCUUGUCUAAAACAUGUAGACAAGAGGUCACAUGUAUGGAAGAGGUUCAAUAAACAACUUAAGAGUUAGAAAAACUUUAAAAAACUUCUAUAUUUGCUAAAUUUAUACCUUUUUAAGCUACUGGCUGCAAUUUUACUGUGAAACCACAGAUCUGUGUAAAAGGAAAUAAUUGCACUGAAAUCACCAAGAGUCCAGUGACUCUUAAAUAAAACCUUUGGAACUAGUUUUUCUUACGCAAAGCACAAAGAGACUAGACAUCAUUAGGGAGAAGGAAACAUCUGUAUUUUUAUGAUUUGACACUGAAUAUUUCCAACAUUUCAACAAGCGCCUGACGAUUCCAACAAGGUCGCAUCAUGAUUUCGGUGUCAGCCAAUCAGCUCUCAUUUACCCGACGGCUGUCGUUCGUCAGAUUUUCAACAAGAAGCUUCAGGUCAAACGCUACCUGGAUAAGAAACAACUAUUUGAAGUGUACCGCGUACAGAUUAAGCAGAUAUAGCAUAAAGCAGAUUUCUCUUUAAACAGCAGCUCAGUGCUCCUGUGUAAGCCUCUGCUGAAUGUUGCUGUCAUUCCUGCGGCGUCCCUUAGCGUUCCCCCCGUCUUGUUUUUAUUUGACCACCCCUGAACUGGAAAGGAGCCACAUUGUCUCAGAGUCCCCACACAAACGAAAAUCCUCAGAAAACUGCAGCUCAGGCGCAAACACACACACACGCCCACACACCACAUUUGUCCCAAUUUCAAAGGCAUCAGUCAAACUGAACAAAAAAGUUUUUCCACCUCAAAGAUGGGAACCGUCAAUCAGUCGUGUUCUGGCCUCGGUCCAAGCCAGAAGAACAACCGUGUUCUGCGCUGGCAAGAGUUCAAAACAGAAACGAGCAACUGCAAAGUCAACACACCACCACCUAACACGCCCAAACUCGGGUCUGUAAUUCACGUUGGCAACAAGAAACCCGUCAGUGCCUGAAAGGGCGCUAGAGAAACCAAAAGAGUAAUUAAAGAACAGCAAUAAAAAUAAAAACAGCCGUGCCUUUUAAAACAGUUAAUCUUUGGUAAUUACUUCAAGGGCACAGAAUAAAACUGGGCACUAGAGUAAGAUUACAAAACUUCAAAGAUUCAGGAAAUUAUAUUGUGUGUGUUUUCUGAAAACAUUGGGAAUUGUUUCAAUUGUUUGAUUUAAUUUUGCUUUUCGUUCACAGUGCUACAGUCACAAGAACCAUUUCUACAUCAGAACGUUUCCUGACACUCUGCAGAUUAUGCUCAUAAACAAUGGAGGUUUCUGGACCAUCACCUUUAGCUUUACUGAAAGAGCAGAUCUUACUGAUGCAGUACACCAUCAGUCAUGACAUCCACCAAAAUAUAUGUCUAAUAAAUCUUUUAUUCAUACAUCGAGUGUAUUGGAAAGGAAUAAUGCACAAAAAUUUUUAAUUAAUAUUUUCUCUAGUUACAACAACUCUGUGCUGAUCCCAAUGCAUUUCAGAUAUUGCAAAAUUGCAUUAAACUCUUUAUUGUUGUUAAAAGUUCACACAUAAAAUAUAUUGGCACAUAGCCUGGCCAUUGACUUCCUGUAAAAUUCCUCUCAAUUAAAAUCCCACUUCACGGACAGUCUGGGUUUUCUCCCAUUUACUUGGAUUCCUCUGGUAGAAUUUCAAUCGGGCCAAUCAGAAGGAGACGUUGUGACCUUCGAUUUUCUGGACUGCUUUAGAAUUGCAGUCAGCCUGCGGUUUUCCAAAUACUGAAUUAACAUUAACAGUGGAGUUGUUCAGCUCGGUGCUUCUCUUUGCGCAGUGGAGGGUGGUUGUUUACAGGGCAGGCGAGUCACGGUACGCUUCAUGGCGUCGAACUGGUGCGUUGCACACGUCACAGACGAAUGUUCUCAAUAAAAUUUAAAAUGUCAGAGUCCAGCCCUACAGGAGGCAAUCAUUUCUCAAUAGCCACCUUCUGUACGAAGCAAAGCGGAGUACGGGGGGAUGGUUUUUAUUAGGCUACUCUGCACCUAGAGAAGGACAAAAAGUAUAUAAUCCCCACACCCAUUAAGAAACAGUAGUCAAACAAUUACACACACUCUGUUUGUGCAAGUGUGCAGGAUAAAUAAUAUGAGCCACUCCUUGCUCGUUUUAAUCCCCCUCCUAAUCUCCACUUAUGAUGUAAGAGUAAAUGUUUGACAGUGUGGCUAAUACAUUUUGCACUUGAACAACAGACUUAAAAAGUCACCACGUCCCUCCUUCUCACAACAGUCCAUGUGCAAUUUGGAGGUCAGUGCAGGAAGAAGCCAUAUUGCACAUGGAGUGUGGCUGGUCAUUAUGAGAAAAUAUUUGAAUAGCCCAUAUUUUUGUUGGAGGCAGUCGUGGUAUACGUUCGCCACUUUGGUUGUGUGGAGGUUUGAGGCGAAUUUGCGACAACGGUCAAAAUGCUAAAGUAUUUCUCGUUUUAACCUUCCAACUGAAACAGCAUUUUCAUAAACACAUUGACGGUUUGGAGGGCUAACUCAUGUUAGCAGCUAUUUUAUUUUUUCAAUCGUUCCUAAUUUAGGGGAAAAACAAUCAAAUUCAUUUCAGUUGCACGGUCAAAGAAAAGCGUCAGUCUGAAGAGCGUUUAUCGUGUCAGGUGAAGGAACCGGCACGGGCAAAUGACUGAGCGUAGAUAAAGUUGUGAUCACUUGUUCGUGUGAAAAUAGACACAGUGGGUUAGUAUAUCAGAACUGAGCUGGAUUUAAAUGUAAUGAUAUACAGAGGACCUUGUGGAAACAUGACGGGUUACUUCCUGGUAGGCCGAAAUGAUGAGCACCAGCCUUCUCUUGACAAACCUCUGAGAAACAGGAAGGAGGCGACCACAUAUCGCUCUAAACCACUUCUCAACAUAAACAGUGUGAAAAAGUUGUAGGAUGUCAGAAACCCUUUCAGUAAAGUCUUAGUCAAAGAAGCCUGCGUCUGUUUUCAGUCAAAAAGCACCAGAGAACAACUUACAUAAUGUAUUUGCCUAGAUCAUCUGGGAAGUUUACAUAGUCGGAUGUUUGCAUAGCAGUGUGCAUGUCUAUUAGGCUGUUUGGUUAUUUAAAGAGACACAGAACUUUUCUUUGGGUUUUUACAAGCCAGGGCUGAGAUGCAGGCACACAGCCGCACAUCCUAUUGUGAGUCCAAGUUUAACUCUUAAGUUGGUUUUGCAGGACUGACAGACUUGGUUUCAUUUCUCUCUAUAGGCUGCUGUUGCGGUGGCAUAAUUCCUCAUGAUCUGACUUAUCUUCCCACACAGGGAAAAACAAGAAGAUAGGGUAAAAGAAGGAAAGACUGUCAGUCACAGCUGGACUACCUGCUGUGCGACUCAGGAAAGAUGACAGCGCAGGCCUUUCCUUCCCAGGAGCUGAAGAGAAGGAGACAGGAGGAGAAAACAAUGAAGACAAAGUGCUCUGUGGUCUGGGACUUCCUCAGACUGUAUUUAAACCAACUACUGCUGCAAAACUCUACUGGCGUCCCAAAAUAGAUAAAACGUCCACCAUCCUGGAACCGUACUGGGAGAAACAGAAUAGAAGAACCAACCUAUAAAAGAAAGAGAAAAAUUGAAGCAGCUAAAAAAAAAAAAAAAAAGUAUGACAUUUUUCUUGUUUUGACAGCCUGCAUUGUAUCUCAUUGGGUUUUUAAGUAAUAAAACAACACAAAUCCAUGCAGAAUCACUAAAUGGAAUGAAAAUAAUGCAAAAAUUAAAAAGAAGUGUGGCAUUCGUUUUUAUGUUGCUCCCUUUAAUUUGAUUUCCCUAAAAAAAAAAAAGCAAAAGUCACAAAG
This is a long non-coding RNA of Xiphophorus hellerii (green swordtail), 4758 nucleotides long. RefSeq lists it as uncharacterized. The transcript is spliced from 2 exons. The record is from RefSeq and is a predicted model, not a curated record. Lineage: Eukaryota; Metazoa; Chordata; Actinopteri; Cyprinodontiformes; Poeciliidae.